This is a long non-coding RNA of Cygnus olor (mute swan), 1685 nucleotides long. RefSeq lists it as uncharacterized. The record is from RefSeq and is a predicted model, not a curated record. The transcript is spliced from 2 exons. NCBI's taxonomy places the organism in Eukaryota, Metazoa, Chordata, Aves, Anseriformes, Anatidae.
UUCAGUUAUCCUUGCUUCAUUUUAGCUGAAAAGGACAUCUAUGCACAACAGUUGAUCAUAUGUAAUAUUUUCUACAGCUGAAUCAUAGCACUUAAACGGGAAUCUGGCACUCCACCUCAACUGUGAGAAGUCUAGCUGUUUCCAUACCAAUGUAACAGAAUCAUCCCACGGACUGGAAGGUAUUACCUCCGUGGAUGGCACAGAACUGAAAAGGAUUUUUCUUUUUUGAUUUUGACGUACAUCCUUAGAGUAUUCGUCCUUGGUGCCUAAACAAAGGAUUUAGGUGUAUAAAGUGAGAUUUGGCAGAUUUUUUUUGUACUCAAACGCUUAAAUUUCUGCUGAUGAUAGAUGGACCUAGAGCUCCUAGCAAACAUAAUGCCUAAAAAGUGAUGAAGUCACUACUAGCAAAGUGCUUAGAGGUCUAGCAUAAGAUGUACUAAGACAAGUUUCUCUAAAGACGUUUUCUCCUAACAUUAAAUGGGUGGAUUUGUUCAUCACCUUUGAUAUUAUCAGCAUAACAGGUCUGCAAGUUUUCUCAAGUUACCAUAGAUGAUGUGUGCUUUCCCCCCUCAUUUUCAAGUAGUACAUAAUCAGUGUUUCCAGAUUCGUAGCUCAUGCUCACGGGCAUGGUUCUGUUAGCACACCCUGCAAAUCUAAUUUCUAGAAAUGUUAUUCAGACACCUAACCUUCAUGAGUUAAUUGAUGAAGGAACCUGAGCCCACCUGCAGCCAUGAAGAUGCAUUAGUUUUGGUACAGAGCUCCUCUAAGGAGUGAGUGUUGCAACACCAAGGCUGCAGGAUGCUGGUGGAACAACACAGAUCAGUCCUCCCUUUUACACAAAUCAACUCCAGAUUUCUUCACAAGUCCUCAAGAGCAGUUUCUCUUCUGGUCAAACAGCUUCCAAUAUCAACAGUGCCUGCUUAGCAAAGCGACUGUGAAUUUAGGAGAGUUUUCCUCUCCAAGCACAACAUUUUUCUUACCCCAUUUUCUCCUAUUUCUCCAUGUAAAGGGGGCAGGGCAGAAGAACAGACUUCUGUUUGAUAAUUAUUUUCUUUACCUGUUAUUUUUUGUCAGCAGAAUCUGCAAGCUUUAUGAAUACAAAAUGAUUAUUUGAAAGGUGAAAGAAAAUGCAGGCAAAACAUGGAGGUUUAUGUGAAGAAAAAUGCAAAAGCAACUAACAUGGGGCCUGUACUAUUAUUUCAAGAAUAUAUAUUCCCUAUAUCAAAACAUAAUUUACCACCAUUCUAUUUCUGCCAUUUUUAUGCAAUUACCAUGGAUUACAAACCAAAUUACAUUUGUUGGUCAGGGAUAUUCUAUGGUAAUUUUUGAGAGUUCUUGUUUUAAGAACUAUUGAAUAUCAGGAAUUAGACCUAUGAAGGAAGCUUACGUAAACCUCAAGCAUCGUUCCUUCCUAAAGAUCAUUUAGUGUUUCUAAACCACAUGAACUGAAUUUGUUUGCAUAAACGUAUUUCCACCAAAUGUCAAUGCUCAUAAGUUGAGUACUAAUUACAUGAUCUAAUUUGAGAGCUUUUAACAAGUAUUUCUGAAUCAGUUAUCUUUUGCUAUCUGUAAUUUAUCUUCUUCGGCUUUUACAAAAUAUUAAAACCAUCCUCAAAACUGAAAACAGAAAAAAUAGCUUAACAUUUUGUGAUGUUUAUGUGAAGAAAAUAAAGAAGGUUGUUUGC